This 579-nucleotide ribosomal RNA is filed under the name Nitzschia fonticola. RNAcentral describes it as "eukaryotic LSU rRNA". It matches the Rfam family "Eukaryotic large subunit ribosomal RNA", at positions 30 to 673 of the family's 3401-position model. Lineage: Eukaryota; Bacillariophyta; Bacillariophyceae; Bacillariales; Bacillariaceae. The record is from RNAcentral.
GAAUUUAAGCAUAUAAUUAAGCGGAGGAAAAGAAACUAACAAGGAUUCCCUCAGUAAGGGCGACUGAAGCGGGAAUAGCUCAAGAUGUGAAUCUGCGCAAUCCAACCNUGGUGCGCCGAAUUGUGGUCUGUAGACUGUGACGUUAUCUGCCGGGCCAAGUCCCUUGGAAAAGGGCAGCAGAGAGGGUGAGACUCCCGUCCGCCUGGUGGAGUGAGUCAUGUGUCAACGAGUCGAGUUGUUUGGGAUUGCAGCUCAAAGCUGGUGGUAAAUUCCAUCUAAAGCUGAAUAUUGGUGGGAGACCGAUAGCGUACAAGUACCGUGAGGGAAAGAUGCAAAGAACUUUGAAAAGAGAGUUAAAGAGUACCUGAAAUUGCUGAAAGGGAAGCGAAGGAAACCAGUGUGUUGACAGUCAUACUUCCUAUAUCACCUGUGGUGUGGGCGCUGUGUCUGUCAGUGGUUCCGCUUGGUUGUCUUUGGUGGAAGAGCGCAGUCAGAGUUGAUGUCUGUUGCUGGCACUGGAGCUGACUGAGCGAGACGAAAUGGUUUUCUUUACCCCGUCUUGAAACACGGACCAAGGGA